Molecule: ribosomal RNA, 175 nt
Filed under: uncultured Brevibacterium sp.
Lineage: Bacteria; Bacillati; Actinomycetota; Actinomycetes; Micrococcales; Brevibacteriaceae
Description: partial 16S ribosomal RNA
Rfam family: Bacterial small subunit ribosomal RNA
Source: RNAcentral
CUACGGGAGGCAGCAGUGGGGAAUAUUGCACAAUGGGGGAAACCCUGAUGCAGCGACGCAGCGUGCGGGAUGACGGCCUUCGGGUUGUAAACCGCUUUCAGCAGGGAAGAAGCCCCUUGGGGUGACGGUACCUGCAGAAGAAGUACCGGCUAACUACGUGCCAGCAGCCGCGGUA